RNAcentral lists this ribosomal RNA (467 nucleotides) under uncultured bacterium. Its description in RNAcentral is "partial 16S ribosomal RNA". It matches the Rfam family "Bacterial small subunit ribosomal RNA", at positions 29 to 507 of the family's 1533-position model. The record is from RNAcentral.
ACGAACGCUGGCGGCGUGCUUAACACAUGCAAGUCGAACGGAAAGGCCCUGCUUUUGUGGGGUGCUCGAGUGGCGAACGGGUGAGUAACACGUGAGUAACCUGCCCUUGACUUUGGGAUAACUUCAGGAAACUGGGGCUAAUACCGGAUAGGAGCUCCUGCUGCAUGGUGGGGGUUGGAAAGUUUCGGCGGUUGGGGAUGGACUCGCGGCUUAUCAGCUUGUUGGUGGGGUAGUGGCUUACCAAGGCUUUGACGGGUAGCCGGCCUGAGAGGGUGACCGGCCGCAUUGGGACUGAGGUACGGCCCAGACUCCUACGGGAGGCAGCAGUGGGGAAUAUUGCACAAUGGGCGGAAGCCUGAUGCAGCAACGCCGCGUGCGGGAUGACGGCCUUCGGGUUGUAAACCGCUUUCGCCUGUGACGAAGCGUGAGUGACGGUAAUGGGUAAAGAAGCACCGGCUAACUACGUG